This 288-nucleotide long non-coding RNA is filed under the name Phaseolus vulgaris (common bean). RNAcentral's name for it is "long non-coding RNA (PVUL_LNC002052)". Lineage: Eukaryota; Viridiplantae; Streptophyta; Magnoliopsida; Fabales; Fabaceae. The record is from RNAcentral.
UUGAAACUGUUUGUGAUUGAGAAUGGAAAGUGUUUGAAUGAUAAUAUAAAUGAGUUGAGCUAUUCUUUUUGAAUAUUUUGGUUGAAUUACUUAAGUGAGAUGCUUUGAUGAGAAGUGGUUGUGUGAUUUCAGAUGAUGAUUGAUUUAAAGAGCAUAUAUUUGGAAUUAAUUAUGUGUUUUAAGUAAAGUUUGAGAUAUAUUUGGAUUGUUUAGAAAGUUUAUAUAUGAAGUGAUUGAGUGGUGCAUUGAUAUGUUAAAUGAUGUAUGUAAUGAGGUUAAAGUGUGAUC